CUGUGCGUUACGGAGUAUAGCACAGAACGUAUGUCUAAACAUAACGCACCGCACAAAACAGGUAUAUGUGCGGUUCGUUCAUGCGUGUGGUUGUCACGUGAGUGAUGGUCACUCAGGUGAACAUAGGCGGGAAUUUGCACGGGGUGUUCAUUGUUUGGUCAGUUCUACGCUAGACUUCGAUCAGUAAACUUGUGUUCGUGUACAAAUCCUACAUCGUGUUGUCGACUUUAGCAGAACACAAGGUGUCCAUGCUGCAAGAUUUGGAACGCAUCAUAGAAAAGAUAAGUGCUAAAAGAAACGUAAAUCUGUUAAAUCCGUUAUACUGAAUCUCGAGCAUAGUAUCGAGUGUUACGAAGUAGUAACAGAGUUGAAACAAUGUAUAUUUCAAGUAACAAUUUCAGCACAAGAGAAAGCCGAUCAAUUUACAAAUAGAAAUAUUGAUGGCACGUGACCGAAAAUUCACAGUUCAUUAAUGGUAGAACACGACAAAAGCUUUCGAACUUACUGGGGAAUAAAUUGCUAUUCUUUGUGGUGUUGUAUACAUUCUAUAUGUAUAUUUGUAAAUGUUUUACGAGUCUGAUGACGUAAUGUUAUUUGCAGAAAAAUACAAGGUAUAGGCGAUGGCAUAUAAAAAGGCGGAAACAUAACGCCACGCGGCGCUCUUGACGGGUCAUAUCAGAAGCCGGAAGCUUCAUCUAACAUCGCAACACAAGGGGCUGAAACUCAAUUACCAUUGAGACGCACAGGACCAUGUUUCGCAUGUGGCGAACCGGGUCAUCGGAAAGGAGCAGCUGGAUGUUCAGCAAACAGCUCGACCAAUAAGAAAUGUUUUGAGAGGUACUCUGAAGGAGCGAUUAGAGGGCUCGGGCUUGCAUGGGCUUCGAAGAGAUUAGAUGGCGGACAGAAUGGCUAAGUAAAUACUUAGAACAAUCAAGAGCAGACAAUACGGUGAAGAAAAGAAUUCUUCAUGUGCACAUUUCAAAUACUGUGAAGAAAAUGUAGUCGCCAUGCCAGCCUAACAUAUAUCAGUAGUAAUGUACAUGGCUCAAUUGAUGGGUCGAGGAAAUCUAAUAACGUUUUUUACAUCUGUGUUUUACAGUAUUAAAUGGAUCCAUUCUAUUAAUAGUGUACAUGAUCCAAAGAAAGAUUUAACAAACUAUUAUAAGAAGCUUCAAAGCGUGUGUGUUUCAAACCAUCUCACAAGAAAGAUGUAUUAUGUACAUGUGCAUUCAUUAGAGAUGAUACAAACAUUGUGUUUGAUAUAAGGAGAUUCCGCUGUUUUCAUUGAUUGAUCAUUUUUUGGGUUAUGCAUGUACAUGUAUCAUGCAUAUUAACAAAUUAAGUGAGUUUCAUUGUAAUGACCUACAAUUGAAAUAUAAUCACUUUGUUAUUAAUGUACGCCAUUAUAAUACUGGCAUGUAUACGAAUGGUCCGGAUAUUAUAAUCGCAAAAUGUACAACUACAAAUUCCCAUAUGGCGUUUUAUUAACAAAUAUGUAAUUAGCAAAUUGGUCAGAUGAAUGAUUUUUUGUUCAAACCAGUUAUUGGUUAUAUAAAUGUAAUUAUUAAGACUAGCUAACGCCAAGGGCGUGUUUUAGUGAUGUUUGAAGCGACAUUGUCGAUGGAAGUCUGAUAGGGCUAAAGAUGAGUACUUUGAUGAUUCUCUAGACAAAAAGCUUUUUAUCACUAGACAAUUGAAAUUAUAAUUGAUUUGCGGUUCGAAUUUUAAACCUUACUAACCUUUGUUUUUGUUCUAUCGCAAGCCUUGCCCAAUGCAAAACGUGUUGUGUUUUGUGCUUAGUUGUGUGAAGACUUUUCAGUUCUGUGCGUUACGGAGUAUAGCACAGAACGUAUGUCUAAACAUAACGCACCGCACAAAACAGGUAUAUGUGCGGUUCGUUCAUGCGUGUGGUUGUCACGUGAGUGAUGGUCACUCAGGUGGACAUAGGCGGGAAUUUGCACGGGGUGUUCAUUGUUUGGUCAGUUCUACGCUAGACUUCGAUCAGUAAACUUUUACUUUUUCGGCGUCAGCUGAAUACGCCAGCUUUUCACCUUAGCCUGACCUUUGUUAGCGUCCAAUAUAAUUCAAAUAAAACUUCCCGCGGCCAAGUACAGAUGAAUACACUUCAUUGACUGCAUUGGCUGAUUUGAUAAUACCACUAGAACAUUGGAAACAUGUCCGCGUCUUUGUAGCACUGUUUUACUGCGUGUUCAGCAUGAAACAGUGUUAUCUCUAAUAAAAAGGCUUUAUAGAUAGAACAGUUUUACACUCAAUCUCGACAUCAAUACAGUUUGUGCGUACAUCUUUUAUUUUCAGAGGAUUUUCAGCGCGAGAACGUUGUGUACUUAAAGGCCAUGUUCUCAAAUUUAGUACUGACUUCCAUAAUCCUGUCAACAUGUUAUAUGUAAAAGUAUAAAGAGCAGUGGAAGCGAUGCCUCACUUUAAUGUGUUGCAUUUCAACCCUCGAGGUAUAAGGGGUCAGUUCGCGGUUAGUGUGUUUGAAUGUCAGAGUUUAUAUACAGGUCAGACCUUCUGUGCUGUUCGGAGUUCGCGGUCAGUUAUAUAAUAGUUAUAUAAUAAAGACGCUAUAGCGUGAACUAGGUGAACCAGAAUUUUCUUUACCACCAGAAAGAUGUGAAAUGAAGAUAUCCAGCGAUAUUAUUUUAUGGCAUGUCAAUAAUAGAUUCUUCAUGUGUUUUCAACAAUACCAUGAUAAAUAUUAUUUUUAAUUAAUUAACAAGAAUUAUUCCAUCAUAUUUACUAAUGUAUUAUUGCAGCAUAUUGACUAAUGUAUUAAGUAUGAGCGCGAUGAUUCUCGAUACUGUUAAUAAUCGAAUCAUAUACACGUAGCGAUUCCCGAUAAACCACUCAAACAGGUUUGUUCGAAGAACGCGCGUAUACAUAUUUAAAAUAUGUACGGAGACUUCGCGUGUGGCCGGUUGACUUUGUUUUUCUUUUUUGUAUCUAUAGGUUUAUGACCAGCAAUAUGUAAUAAUGUAAAAUAAGCCGCGAAAACUCCGCGUAACAUCCCGUACUGCGUUUGAUGCAGCUAAAAACUGCACAGAAAGAUAUUAGCUAUCCUUGAUCGCAUUCAUUUAAAUCUUUACCUUCCAUAAACUCCAACCACAAUCAACGCCGUAUAUCUUUUUUAAAGAUAUUUCUUGUUUAAAAUUCGAACCGCAUUAGUAGUAAAUUGGCUCAAAUGACAUGUUAUGUUUGUGUGACAUAAUGUUAAGUUACAUGUUAAUAUUGGUUGUUUUCAGGUACAGUUUUCCAGAGUUAUUUUACAUUGGGCUUCUGAUGAAUUUUUAUCUCUGGUUUUUACCCUGGCCUUGAAAACACCAAUUAAGGACACAAUACUAGAAGUGAUGUAUACACAUUAUAGUUAUAAUUUGUUAUAUAAUUUAUAGAUCGAAAAUUGUCCUGUUAAGGUUGUACUACGAUUGUACUUUAUUGCUAUAUGAUACGAAUAUGUAAUAUUCGUGGAUGUGUGUUGUCAAUAAACUGAUCGCAAGCCUUGCCCAAUGCAAAA
Molecule: long non-coding RNA, 3532 nt
Organism: Dreissena polymorpha
Lineage: Eukaryota; Metazoa; Mollusca; Bivalvia; Myida; Dreissenidae
Exons: 2
Source: RefSeq, a predicted model, not a curated record